This 352-nucleotide unclassified non-coding RNA is filed under the name Hevea brasiliensis (rubber tree). Lineage: Eukaryota; Viridiplantae; Streptophyta; Magnoliopsida; Malpighiales; Euphorbiaceae. The record is from RNAcentral.
UUUGUGCAUAUACAGCAACCCAAUAACUUGGUUCUUAACUCUUUUGUAUCCGUUUGUUGUUGGUGGGUUAUGGACAUGUUUGCAGUUCGGUCGUUUCUGUUCUGUACUAGCUUUUUUUAGUCUGUUUUGUACUAGUUUGUAAAUUGCAAUAAGAAUGAUCGAAUUUGCCUUAUUUUGUUGGUGACUACCCUCAAAGUCCAUUCGGCCAGCUGGUCCUUGCGGUACAUAGUAGAGAGCUCAAGCAUAUGGGGCUGGGCAUGUGUUAUGGGACAAAGGCUUAUUAUAAGAUGGAUAAUUUGGAUUUAUAAGAUGUGUUGCCAGGCCGUAUGAGGGCUUUCAUUUCUAGAUUUCA